Unclassified non-coding RNA from Pongo abelii (Sumatran orangutan), 148 nucleotides. It matches the Rfam family "Metazoan signal recognition particle RNA". Rfam says of the family: The signal recognition particle (SRP) is a universally conserved ribonucleoprotein. Lineage: Eukaryota; Metazoa; Chordata; Mammalia; Primates; Hominidae. The record is from Ensembl.
GCCGGGUGUGGUGGCGAGUGCCUGUAAUCCUAGCUACUUGGGAGGCUGAGGCAGGAGAAUUGCUUGAACCCGGGAGGCAGGGGUUGCAGUGAGCCGAGGUUGCGCCACUGCACACCAUCCUGGGGGACAAAGUGAGACUUUGUCUCAA